RNAcentral lists this ribosomal RNA (252 nucleotides) under uncultured bacterium. RNAcentral's name for it is "partial 16S ribosomal RNA". It matches the Rfam family "Bacterial small subunit ribosomal RNA", at positions 524 to 776 of the family's 1533-position model. The record is from RNAcentral.
UACAGGGGGGGCAAGCGUUGUUCGGAAUUACUGGGCGUAAAGGCUCGUAGGCGGCCAACUAAGUCACACGUGAAAUCCCCAGGCUUAACCUGGGAACUGCGUGUGAUACUGGAUGACUUGAAUCCGGGAGAGGGAUGCGGAAUUCCAGGUGUAGCGGUGAAAUGCGUAGAUAUCUGGAGGAACACCGGUGGCGAAGGCGGCAUCCUGGACCGGUAUUGACGCUGAUGAGCGAAAGCCAGGGGAGCAAACGGG